GGUCCGCUGGCGUAAUUGGAAGCGCGUCUGACUACGAUCGAUUGUAAUCAGGAGGUUCCAGGUUCGAGCCCUGGGCGGAUCG
This is a non-coding RNA of Canariomyces notabilis, 82 nucleotides long. Lineage: Eukaryota; Fungi; Ascomycota; Sordariomycetes; Sordariales; Chaetomiaceae. The record is from the annotation of a RefSeq genome assembly.